RNAcentral lists this ribosomal RNA (253 nucleotides) under uncultured bacterium. Its description in RNAcentral is "partial 16S ribosomal RNA". It matches the Rfam family "Bacterial small subunit ribosomal RNA", at positions 524 to 776 of the family's 1533-position model. The record is from RNAcentral.
UACGUAGGGUGCAAGCGUUGUCCGGAAUUAUUGGGCGUAAAGAGCUUGUAGGCGGUUUGUUGCGUCUGCUGUGAAAUUUCGGGGCUCAACCCCGAACUUGCAGUGGGUACGGGCAGACUAGAGUGUGGUAGGGGAGACUGGAAUUCCUGGUGUAGCGGUGAAAUGCGCAGAUAUCAGGAGGAACACCGGUGGCGAAGGCGGCGACCUGGGUAGAUACUGACGCUGAGGCGCGAAAGCGUGGGGAGCAAACAGG